RNAcentral lists this transfer RNA (70 nucleotides) under Mimachlamys varia. RNAcentral's name for it is "tRNA-Phe". Lineage: Eukaryota; Metazoa; Mollusca; Bivalvia; Pectinida; Pectinidae. The record is from RNAcentral.
GACUUUGUAGUUGAAAAAAACAAUACCGGAAUAAAAAUUUCGGGGGUGGGGGUUCGUCCCUCCAAAGUUU